GUCUAUGGCCAUACCACCCUGAACGUGCCCAAUCUCGUCUGAUCUUGGAAGCUAAGCAGGGUCGGGCCUGGUUAGUACUUGGAUGGGAGACCACCUGGAACUACCGGGUGCUGUAGGCU
Molecule: ribosomal RNA, 119 nt
Organism: Cavia porcellus (domestic guinea pig)
Lineage: Eukaryota; Metazoa; Chordata; Mammalia; Rodentia; Caviidae
Source: Ensembl